RNAcentral lists this transfer RNA (72 nucleotides) under Camelus bactrianus (Bactrian camel). It matches the Rfam family "tRNA". Rfam says of the family: Transfer RNA (tRNA) molecules are approximately 80 nucleotides in length. Their secondary structure includes four short double-helical elements and three loops (D, anti-codon, and T loops). The record is from Rfam by way of RNAcentral. RNAcentral also lists the same sequence under 2 other names. Lineage: Eukaryota; Metazoa; Chordata; Mammalia; Artiodactyla; Camelidae.
GAGGGCAUAGCUCAGUGGGAGAGUGCGUGCUUAGCAAGCAUAAGGUCCUGGGCUCAAUCCCCAGUACCUCCA